UGUAGUUGAGGAAGGCUCGAUGAAUAUGAAGAGGUGUUGGUGUAGAUGUCGAGCAAGAGGAAAAGUUGCAUCAGGAUCAGUCCUAGAAGAAUGAUGCUAUGGAUUCAAUAAACAGUUGUUUUUGCCUAUAUUGCCUACGACAUUGUAGCCUGAAAGAUUUUUUAAAUGCUUCAUUAUCAUCUCCAAUGGUUUUUUCCCCCUAUUUCCUGUUAUCCGGGACAAUCUGUUUGUACUUAAAUACCUAGAAAUUGGAGAUUGCACCAAUUGGAAUAUGAACUACUUUUACAAGUGUGAUUGAC
Molecule: long non-coding RNA, 299 nt
Filed under: Daucus carota (carrot)
Lineage: Eukaryota; Viridiplantae; Streptophyta; Magnoliopsida; Apiales; Apiaceae
Description: long non-coding RNA (DCAR_LNC004319)
Source: RNAcentral